CUAGCCUGCCCAGUGAUUUUUUAACGGCCGCGGUAUAUUGACCGUGCAAAGGUAGCAUAAUCAUUAGUCUUUUAAUAGAAGGCUGGAAUGAAAGGUUUAACGAAAAAUUAGCUGUCUCAAUUAUAAAUUGGAACUUAGCUUUUAAGUCAAAAGGCUUAAAUUCAAUUGAUGGACGAGAAGACCCUAUAGAGCUUUACAUUUUAUUUUAAUAAAUCUAUUUGGAUAAAUAAUUUUAAUUUAUUAAUUUAAAUGUUUUGUUGGGGUGACAAGAAAUAUAUGAUUAACUUUUAUUAUUUAAUAUACAUUUAUAUAUGGUUAUUGGAUCCAGUAUUAUUGAUCAUUAGAAUAAGUUACCUUAGGGAUAACAGCGUAAUCUUCCUUCAGAGUUCAAAUUUACAGGAAGGCUUGCGACCUCGAUGUUGGAUUAAGAUAAUAAUUAGGUGCAGUAGCUUAAUUAAUAGGUCUGUUCGACCUUUAAAUUCUU
Molecule: ribosomal RNA, 484 nt
Filed under: Coenagrion caerulescens
Lineage: Eukaryota; Metazoa; Arthropoda; Insecta; Odonata; Coenagrionidae
Description: partial 16S ribosomal RNA
Rfam family: Bacterial large subunit ribosomal RNA
Source: RNAcentral